UACGUAGGGGGCGAGCGUUGUCCGAAGUUACUGGGCGUAAAGGGCGCGUAGGCGGGGAAGAACGUCUGCUGUGAAAGCCCGGAGCUUAACUCCGGAGGGUCGGUAGAUACUUUUUCUCUUGAAGCUGCUAGGGGGAGAUGGAAUUACCGGUGUAGCGGUGAAAUGCGUAGAUAUCGGUAGGAACACCUGUGGCGAAGGCGGUCUCCUGGGGCAGACUUGACGCUGAGGCGCGAAAGCUGGGGGAGCGAACGGG
This 253-nucleotide ribosomal RNA is filed under the name uncultured bacterium. Its description in RNAcentral is "partial 16S ribosomal RNA". It matches the Rfam family "Bacterial small subunit ribosomal RNA", at positions 524 to 776 of the family's 1533-position model. The record is from RNAcentral.